AUUCGUGGGGUUUAUGGUCCUGAGAAGACAAAAACAAGCCCACCACCCUCACAGUUCAUGGAAUCCUAAGUGAUGUGAUGAAUGCAUUCUUUGGUUGUUGGUUGAACAUUUAUGUACGUUGAAAGCCAAGUACAGAGAUAAUGGCUAAUUGCCACUGUUAUAUGAACCUUGUAUGGGAAUGCUUUUAGCCAUUAGUUACCCUUACCUUUAUCCCGAGUCAACCAUGUGUAAAUUAGUUUUUCAUCACUCCCAUAUUCAGCAUGUGAUGUAUUAUAAGCUAAAUUUUAAUUGAUAUAGUGUUGUUUGAGUUAAUUACUUGGUUUUGUAUGAUCAGACUGACUAUUUCCUUCCUGGAAACAAAGUGGAUUCAUAAUUUUUUACUGUCAAAGUGAACCUUGGCAACGCAACAAAUUAUGAAUCCACUUUGUUUCCAGGAA
RNAcentral lists this unclassified non-coding RNA (437 nucleotides) under Hevea brasiliensis (rubber tree). Lineage: Eukaryota; Viridiplantae; Streptophyta; Magnoliopsida; Malpighiales; Euphorbiaceae. The record is from RNAcentral.